UCUCGCGAGAAUGUUGUUGAGACAGAUCCGCAUCUCAAAAUUUAGAUAAAGUUGAUUUUCUCCUUAUAUGUCCAUCUGAAAAUAGCUAUGUGUAACUUUCAAAGGAAGGCAAUUCAGAAAAUUCACGCCUUCUAUCAGACAACGGCGGACAUGACGCGUUGUUUGCCAUCAAUGUCAGAAGAAGAAGAAGCGGGAAAACAGUAGGUGGCGUAAUAUUUUAACGUUGUGUGCGCCAACCUCGAACUAAAACGAGGAAGAAGAAGAAAGCGAAGAAGAAAGAGAAGAAGAAGCGGGAAAGUUUUUGGAAACGACGACCGCAACGCUUGCGACAGAAGACUUGGAGAGUUCAAUCCAUCUAUUUUCUACUGCUUUUCCCUUCCGUGUCGAGGGGGUGCUGGAGCCUAUCCCAGCUGCGCUCGGGCGAAGGCGGGGUACACCCUGGACAAGUCCACACAGAUCGACAGAUAACAUUCACACACUCGCAUCAAUUUAGUGUUGCCAAUCAACCUAUCCCCAGUUUGUGAUCCAAAAUUUGUUUUUUCAUUAACAGGAUGGACAAAAAGAAAAUUACAACAAAAAAGAGGUUAAGAGUUCCCACAAAGAAAAUGAAGGACCUGCAUAAAUCUCCUCCCCCAAGUGAGCAAUCUGGGUGUUUGGCAUUCGUCAGAUGGGAGGACGGUUAUACCGGCAAAAUCUUUAGACAUUUUGUCAAGAUAUGAAGCUCCUGUGCAGAUCUUAGAUCUUAGAACAGGAGAUUCUGUUUUAGCAAAGUGGUCAGAUGGUAAAUUUUAUAGGGCAACUGUUGAAUAUAUUUCAGGAAAAGAUCAGACUCAGUCACCAAAAGGCUGCCAAACUCCGCAGGAGUCAUUUUUAAAUAUGUUGGAAGCCAAUGAGCCAUCACACUCAACAUCAGGGUCUAACACCAUUACAGUAGAUCGGAACCCACUGUCUGACAUGAUAAUAUCACAGCGCUGAAUCUAUCAAGUGACGGGGCACUUGUAACAGGCAGCAACACUGUUGGACCACCACCACCCUAUGGGUAAGCUUGACAUUUAUUACCUCAUGCCUAUGGGGCUACAAGUUCAAAACUCUUUAUAAAAUCAAAUUUGGUAAAUUUCCAAACCAAAAAAACAGCAUUAACUGACAUAUUAUUUUAUCUGCCAUCAAAUAAUUGUUUCAGUAAAUAGUAUGUGAAUGACAAAUACAAAUAUUUAAUGUAUUUCAUUGCCCAAAACCCAACAUCUGUAUCCACUUUGAUUUCAGGAUUAAAAGUUCUGAACUUGUUGACCCUGAAAACAAUUAUUUGCCAUCAUUUUAUUACUUUUUAACCAUGGUCAAAAUGUUCAUAGAGUGUAAAUAUCCACUCUACAAUCUCAUGUGUCAAAACUAGGGAGUAACAAAAUGAACAUUUCAUGUCAUGGUUACAAUGGUUAUCACAGUAUUGAUGAAUGUGCUCAAGAAGUACUUGAACACACACUGAAAUCUUAUAAACAAGUUUUGUUGAGGAAAAAAAAAUGUUACACAAUAUAUACUUUCUUAAUAGAAGAAAUCUAAGUUUUUAAACAUUCAGUUUCACGUCAAAAUAUAAAUUCCGCAUUUUUUAAAAUUAAAUAUAAAUAAAAAUAUAUAGAAAUAUAAAUACUAGUGUAAGGAUGGGAGUUGAAGGAUGAGUGUCAAAAAACAGAGCUAACUUUGCUUUCUUAUCAGCAAUAGAGCAUUAAUGAAACACUCUUGGGUUCUCAGAGCAACACACAACACCGGAAAUGUGUCCCGUGAAACCUGUCCGACCGGAGCUUUCAACAAUAACAAAAGUUCCAUGGAUGAAUUAAGUAAACAAUAUCAAAAAAUAGGAUCCUAACAAAAUUUGUGGAACGCUCGCCUCGGCCGUAGGUACUUGCUGUUGCUCCGCACUGAUUUUCAGGACAGGGAAACCAAAACAAGCUUACUAGUUAGCAUAAUUAGCAUCAUCGAGCUACCUUACUUGUUGUUGAUACUGUUUCGUGAUUGGCUGUUGGUGUGUCCCUUCCAUUGCUCAGUAAAUACUGUUAACUGAUUGUCUGUUAUAGUAUGUCCCUGCCAUUGCUCAGUGACACUUCCUGUUUUCUGUUUGCUGGGUUCCCUAAUGCAGCGAAUCUUGCUUGCUCGAAUAUUUUAUCGAACACAUUUAAUAUUGAUAUGAUUAUGUGUCUAUCGCGAUGUAUAUUUAUUGUUUUAUUGCCCCAGUGCUAUGUAGUAUUGAUUCUUUAAAACAAUAAUUGGGGCUUGCAUGGGAGCACUACGUGCGGAUAGAAAUUUUCCUCUUUUUUGUGAAUUUUCCUCUUCUUUUGUCAAAGGUUGCUCACAUGCCUGUACUUCCUCUGUGAAAUAAAGGAUGUAGGGCGGAAAUCUCAAUAAGCAAUAGUUUAAAAAAACAUAUUUAAACCAAAUAUAAGUACUGGUUUGACAGUUUAUACUUAAUUGUACAUUUCAUAAAUAAUCCUGAGAUGUAUAAAGUAAUAACUUUUUGGUGAUAGUCAAUAUGUAUAACUUAAUAUUAAAAAAUCUGUCAUAAUCUCUUAGUUGGUAUUGUUGACUAAGUGAGUUGUCUAUUUCCUUGCAGUCAAGAUGAUUUCAGUAUUGGUCCAGUUCCUUUGUGUUUGAUGUGAAAUGUUUCUGUUUAGGAGUACCGUACAGAACGAUUAUAGAUAUGGUAAAUUUUGGUCAUGGUACAUUUAUUUUCAUUAUUGGUACGUCCAUCAUAGAGUAAAGAGAACAAAUAAUUUAUGCACUGCUGAUUUUGUAGAUUGAGGUCUGUUACUUAUAUUAUUAUUAUUAUUAUUAUUAACAAUAAUAUCAUUAUAGGCACACUUCAAUUGUAAGUGAUAGAAUCCAAAACAAAAAUCCGUAAAAUCACAUUCUAUGAAUUUUUUUUAAAGUAAUUGAUGUGCAUCUUAUUGCAUGAAAUCCAUAUUUUAUACUUCAGAUAAAUGAGGUAAAAAAGAGGAAAAAAAUGCACAUUACCUGAAAAUCAUACAAUGUCAUUUUUUGUUUUGUUUUAUAUUUUACAGAAUCACCAGUCUAUUAAAUACUUGUUCUCCUUUGGCCGCUGGAAGUUAAAAUGCGGGUCAAUUCAGUAAUUUUUUUGUAGUUCAGUAUUUCUCAUCUCUUUUGAUAUUGCAUAUAUAUAUAUGGACAAGUUGGGUUUAUAGAAUGGUAAUCUAUGGUUCAAUGAAAUUUCAUGAUAGGUUUACCAAAGAGGGAACCAUCGGUCCAUCACCCUACAGCGGCAAUACAGCCAUACCAUCACCGUAUGGCCUCCACGUCAAUUGUCAAUUUCUCUAUGGGGGCCAUACAUCUAGCCUACCACCGUAUGGCCUCAACAUCAAAGGUCCAUCUCCCUACGAAGACCAUGCAUCCUGCCCAUCACUGCAUGACUUCAACACCGCUGGCCCAUCACCAAAUGUCUACAACACCUCUGGUCCUUCACCCGGCGUACACACCCCGCUAGCUGGCAAGCUAGCUGGGUUAAUCCACCUGACAAAAAAAACCCAGCUUUCCUGGCACCGGACAGGAGAGAUACAGGCAACCCAUCUGUCGAGGACACUAUCUCAUAUCGACCGCAGGCAGAAAAAUCAUGGACGCCAUGUGAUGGAUGUAGGAAGGAGUUCGAAAAAAUCCUGCGAGAAAAGCAACGAAUCGAAGUAGUCCUCUUGA
This is a long non-coding RNA of Entelurus aequoreus (snake pipefish), 3693 nucleotides long. RefSeq lists it as uncharacterized. Lineage: Eukaryota; Metazoa; Chordata; Actinopteri; Syngnathiformes; Syngnathidae. The record is from RefSeq and is a predicted model, not a curated record. The transcript has 3 exons.